ACAAUAUUCCUUGUUAAAAUACUGGAAGAAUUGGAAACAAGCUUUCUUCACAUUACGAAGGACAAAACCUUUUUAUGCCUUUGCAUUUUAAAUUAAGAUACAAAAGGUUUAUUUCCCUCGGAGUUCUGUUUUCGUAAAUGUACCAUUUUGUAUUCUAAGAACAGAUAAGAUACCCUGAUUAUAAACUAGUUUUUAUAAAUACCAAAGAUGAAAGUCCCUUUUUAAAAUUUUUUUUUUUUGCUUUAACCACAGAAAUACUCACUGAAGUGUUUUGGAAAUGCUGCUUUCAUCCUUGUAAAACCAUCCAAGCAAGCAAAGGACAUACAGAUCCUCAGAGAUGGAGAUAAAAUUUGGAAUUAUUUGGACAGAACAACAGUAAAUAAUAAUAAAUCAAGAACAUGGUGAUAGCAUUCUUUUGCAGGGAACAUCUUCAAUGAGGUAUAUUGACACAGAUGUUUCCUGAAAGAGCAAGUAGAGAUCCCUGAAGCAUUUGCUGCAGAAGUGCAGAUGUCUGCUUUGGUGAGGAAUAUUAUCGCCAUGAAAGUAAACAGGAUUUUGCAAGGGUACAGUUUCUGUUCAGCUUAAGAACAUGCUCUUGUUUCUCCUUUCUGGAUUUCCAGAUGAGGAAGAGGUUCUAACACUCCUCCUGAGGGGAGAGUUACCUGUGGAAGAAGCAUUGUGCCAACUGCUUCCAGCUUCUCAGAGGCUCUCAGUGUUACAGCAGAGAACACAGGGAAACAAGACCAUCUCUGCAUGGCAUCAGACUUCACGCACAAUUUCAGUCUCCGAUUUGCUGGGUGAGAACUGCACAGCUCUUACUUGGCUGAAACCACAGAGAGAGAGACUAUCUGCACAGUUGGCUGCAGGAGACGCCCAGUGAGCUAUUUCAUGGGAUUUGGGGAUUGCUGCCUCAUGAGAGGGAUCCUUCAUGGUUUCUCACUUGGUAGAUCUGUGCUGUGUUUAAAUUCCACUAUCAGAUAUUCAGGAAUAAACUCCAAAGGGCAAGGUGUGAACAUGUACUUCAGGGCAGAAAUAGCUGCUUUUGAUAAAAACAUCCCACGUAUUAUGUGGGAACUCCUGGACUUAUCGUUGGACACACCCAAGCUGUGUCCUUCUUCUGUAUUUGUGUGAAGAGCUGCCUACAGAUGAUUACUGCACCCUUCCACGCCCCAGAAAUACAUCCACAAAAGAGGUGUAGGCAGAGCCCACAGUGUCCAGCUACCUGGUGUGGAUAAUCAGGGGCUGGAUCUGAGUCAGACCACACAGCCUGGCCACUACUGCCUGUAGAGGUGACCAGCCAUGCUCCAUGCAGGGCUUUAUGUUGCUACUCUUUAUUUAAUGCUAACACAAUCUGUGGGACACAUAUAUUCUAGGGACGCUGCCUGUGAAUGUAAAUGGGAUGUGCAAAGCCUUCCAAAGUGAGAGCUCCACUUUCCUGCAUAGUGCUACAUUUUUUGAAUUUAUUGUCUUGCUGAAUUACCAGUCAUUGAUAGUGAUUAAAAGCACCCAACUUGUAUAUCAGAUGCUCCAGCAACACAUCUCAAAAUGUUUCACCAAGCAACACAAAUCUCUUUUAUUUCCACAGCCCCUGGAAUUUCCCUAUUUCAAAUUUAGCUCAAUGUUUUAUAUGAUCUGAUACAAUUCAGGAGGAAAAGACAAAGAGAGAGGUCUUUGCCUGCUGCUGUAAUCUAGGAGGACAUCACUGCUGUAGCACACAGAUGGAGAACCUGCAAGAAGAGCGUGUGCAGCCAGGUCAGCGAAGAGAGAGCCAGCAGCUGUGUGGGCCCAGCCCCACACUCAUGCCCAGCUGCACUGAAACUGGCCUUGUCUUUGAGUAGGUGUAGAAAAAACUAAAUUUCACCUACCUCCUUAUGGCAGUGGGGGAGCCUCAGAGGGUGAUUCAUAGGACCUAAAUAAGGCAGUAAGCAGGCAGCUGCCUGGAGCUAGUCAAUAGGAACAUCAAGCACAGAAACGCAAAUGGAAUUUAGCCCCAGUUGUCUAAUAUAAAAGAUCUGCCAGGGACCAACUCACUGCUUGGGUGGUUCUUCUGAUGGUAGUUUGUGGUUUCAGUUAUUACUUUCAACAAAGGAAUGAGGAUAAUAAAGAUUUCUGAGUCUAAAUUAAUCUUGGGAGGCUUGUAAAAGUUAUAUUCUGUACCAGCUUUGUGUUAGGCACAAUCCAGUGGCUUUUAUUUGCCUUUAAAGCCUUGACUUCUGAGAUAUGCACAGUACAUAGAGAUAGCAGAUUCUACAAAAAACACAAGGAUGAAAUUCACAUUUAUUCAUUUAUUCUGUGCUAAAACACCAUGUCAAAGGCCUGUCAGGAAAAAGUUUCUUGAAAACAAAUCACCUCAGACAGAGCAGAAUCAGAAUUUUACUUUGCAUUUAGAGUCAGACACUGAAUUAAAAAAAAAAAAAAGGAAGAAGAAAAAAAAAUCUGUACUCACAUGACUAGCAAAUAGGCCAGAACAUUUUUUACAUAAAUUAUGCUCUUCUGUCAUCUAUUGUGAAACUAUGAAAACCUACGCAUGCUUGUAAAUAGAUCACACUUAGAUGGAAGGAGAUCUCUAAAUGCACUGUGACUCACACAGCAUAAAGAUGCAAGGAUGGAUUGUACACUGCACAGGGCUGGAGUUUCUUUCAGCAGUAUAUAUUCACAGACAUGUGGCUACAGUGUUACAGGGGAGCAUUGAUAAGAGCCCUGAGGAAGGAGGGUGGAUGUUUACUUGGUGGAUUUUGAGGAACAGAGACCCAAUCACCAUUUUACUUUCCUUCUCAGUAACUACUAAUCAAUCUAAUAAUUAUUAAUAGGAUAUUUGUAAAGCUCUGGAAGGUCUAUAUUUACAAAAUAAGGAGGGAAAAUAUAUGGCCAUCCUCAGAACACCAUACUGUAUAUGAAUCUGUUCACCAAUAUAAUAUAGGACAGCUUUUCUUCUUUUGAUUCCUUAAGGUUACGAAUACCCAAAAAUUAAUUGCUUACAGGCUUAAGUGCAUGCUAAGUGCUUUGCCCAGCUGCUGCUUUUCUUAAGUGCUUUGCUCCCUCCUCAGUAGCCUUUGGGCUCAAUUACUGAUCUGUUUUGCCCAUGAUUUUGGCCUUUAAUCCCACAGUCCAUGUCUGCAUGGCUCUGAAGGGUGAUGGAGUCAGCAGCCCCUGCAUUCUGGGUCCCUGGCUGCUGUAGUGACCACUGGCCACUCACUUCUGUUGGCUGGUGACCAUGUGGCUGUGUUUGGACUUGUAUUCCAGCAUCCCCCAGAGCAUGUGUGUGGGUUGUACCUCUGAUAUGUCAAAGAGAGUAGGAGGAAGGGUGGCUGGCACAGCCCUUCUGCAUGGGAGUCCUGAGACUGCUGCAAGACAGUGGAAAUGUAGUCCAAGACACGCAGAUCUUUAUUUGAAGCUUGUUUGAGCUGGGAGACAGGAAUUAUUCAUGACCUUCUGAGCAUUUAGAGUAUCAAAUGAGCUCCACUUGUCAAAACCAAAUACUUAAAGACAGCACUGAUAUUUUUUAUACAUUUUUCACAUUAUUCCACAGUAAUGAGGACUCUAAACAUCCAUUUUUUUAGAACUGAAAGAUGAGAUUUUUGGAACAUGAAUUUCUGGAAAAAUUGAUAAGAAAGUUGCCUGGAGCACUGAAUUUGGCCAGUGAGUAUAUUUGCAGGCUUUUGAACCAGAAUAGGGCAUCAUCAGCAAAUGGCUACAGGGGAAAACAAAGAACUUUGCACACUUCUAUCCUGGGAGCCUGCUUUCAGCCCCAUCCAUCGAUCAGCACAUGCUUGAAUGCUGCCUGUAACUGGACUCCAAAGCAACACAAACCAUUCACUCCAAGGGAGGAAAGGAACUCCUGAGACCUCUGAAUUUUGAGCAUCAAAUGCUAACAUCAUUAAUUGCUUCAAACCGAGUUAGCAAAGCCAGAGCUCUGCAAACCUUUGUGCAUGAACAGCUCACACUGAACUCAUUUCAGAAUGCUGGGGCAAGUCUACUUGGAAGGCCAGUAGAAUUCACUAGGCAAGUCAGUCACUGCCAAUUAUUCCCCAUGCUGUGAAUCUGAACACAGUCCUUAUGUUACAGAUUUCAUGAUCACAGCCCGUGCUCAAAAAGGCUUAGAAAUGCAAGGAACUGCUUACAGGCUCUGGCUCUGCACAGGGUUUUGGUAUGUGAAGGACACCUAUUUUCAUUGGAAGAGACUUGCCAGCAGCAAUUGACAAAUUUUGGCCCCAUUAAUUUUGUUUGUGUAAAGAAAAUUUUAAAUCUAUUCUUUGACUUAGAAAAUAACUGAGCAUGAGUUUUUAAUUCAUCUUGCCCUUCAAGGAGACAAAUUAAUGAACCCUGGCAAUACAUUAGUCCAAUUGCCUCUUUUCUCUUAUUGAAAAAAAAUUACAUAGAAAGAGGUUAAAAAAUGUUGUCUGCCCAUUCAGCUGGUGCUUGCAUUUCUGGAGUUAUGAGGUGUAUACAUUGUGAGCCUGGAGGGAUGCAGAAUUUUGAGUGCAUUUCAGUGCCUUCCGCUCAUUUUGCCAUUGAGAUAUUUGCUGACAACCUAAAAGGGUGGAGGCACCUCUGCAGUUCUCUCUGGAGGCUUUUAUGGUUUAUUUUGUGUUUGUGUUGUAUUCCAGGCUCACAGCUGUAAUUUUUCUACUGUUCUUUUGAUAUUAUUACUGGCAGAGAGUUCAUUUCCUCACCCAAACUGGUUGUGGCCUGCUUGCAGCCAUCCCCUAUGCUCACCACAUUUCAGUGCCUAAAGAGGCAUCCCACAGUCUGUGUCUGUGCCUCAUGAGUGGCAAAGGGGGAACACUCACCCAGCAGCCCUACUUGCCCCUGUUACAGGCAAGUGUCCUCUCUGGGCCCUGCGGGAAUGUGCAGCCCAGGGACCUUAGAGGUGGGCAGCAGAGAUCCCACAGUGUCCCCACGGGGAAGGCAGGACCACCACCAGCUGUCACAGGGAGAUCUGGCACAGCCACAGGUUGGGGACAAGUGACUUGUGCUUCCCACAGGCCAGGCACACCACUCAUAGCCCACUGCUGGUGGAAAGGGCUGCUGUCCUCUGCCCAAGCCCAUCCAGCAGGAGCAGCUCAGAGUCAGGGGAGCUGGCCAGGAGCCUUUGCCCAUUUCCAUACAAGCCCUGCCACCCCAGCCUGCGCUCUCAGGCUUUCCCGCUGUUUUCAAGGAUCCUGCGUGAGCUCCCCCCACGUCACUCAUGCUCUGGGGCCAGCUCAAGGAGGAGCUGGUUUGGCUCCAGCCAGGGCCACGGCUGAAACAGCCGCACCCUGGCCUGCACCCAGCUGGCAUGGAGCUGCUCCCUGAGUGUCCAUGAGCACAGAUCUGGCCUAAAAACAGCCUGCAGAUACAGCCAGACUGUGCUCUUACCUGGCUGGGAGGAACGCCCAUGACAAGGUAGUUCAUUAAUCCCCUGUUGCUUGCCAUUUGGAUUCUUGCCAUAGCAUUUGAAUCACCCAAAGCUGUCAAACACUCAGGAGAUAUACUGGAAAAUAGAAAUAAUUAAAUUCGUUUAAGUAGGAGAUUUUAAACAGAUCAAUCAAGGCCUUCACUGUUGCUUUAUUUCUCUGUUUUCUGAAGCAUUAGGAUGUAUGUGCUUCAUGUUCUGAGUCCUUUCUCUACUGUCCUUCCUUUUAAAGAAAGCCUAAGGUUUUCACUCUCAUACUUUCCUCUGCAGCUUUAAAAAAAACCCCCAAAACAGUAAACAAAUUUCAUGAGAUUUGUGUUAAAAUCAGUGUUGGCACCACCGUCUCAUUUGUCGAGUUUUUCCAUGACACGGAAUAACUUUGCUACUAACGCAGAAUAUGGAGAAAUCAGUAGUUUAUUCACAGAAUCACAGCCUGGUCACCAACUGCCCUUUAUCCCAGGCUUUUAUUAUAUUGUUAGACAAAUUCCCUUGGCUAUCAUUUGGAUGAGAAAAAUGAACCUUUGCUUCAUGGGUGCACAACUUUUUUGAGCAGAUAAGCCACUGACAUCAUCCUGUCAUGACCCCUCUAAACCUCUCCCACAGCCCUCACACCACAUUUUCAAUUGAAGAAAAGCUCUCAACACCAGAGUUCCUCUGCACAGAGCUGAGCUCUCAGAAGAAGUACCACAUUGAUUUAUACAUAUAUAUAUCCUGUAUUGUCAACACAAGGGUAUCACAUCCUCUAGAGAAGACAGCAUUCAGUGCUGAAUAUCCACUGUCAGCAAAGUACUUUUGAACUUUCUGUGAGGGUUUUUUUUUUUAAUUCCCCAGACUUUUCCUAGAGAAAUAUAAAUGAACACGGUGUAAAAUUUCCAUAUUUUAAUAGCAUCCAUUUUAUGUUCAGGCUAAGGACUUGGAAUAAUCGAGUUAGUUUCAUUUCUGUUUAUUGCUCAUUUCUGCUCAAUUUCCUCUCACUGCCUUUCCCACAGUAAGCCAGCAUGGCAGGGCUCGCUGGCUGCAGAGUAUACAGGAAAAUGGUUAAAUUGAGUUAAAAUAUGUUUCACUAAAAAUACACUCACAGUUCAUACAAACCUAUUUAUUGAUCCCCUUUUCAAAAAGCUUUACCUGUGACCUAACUGCAUAAGACUACAACCCUGUAAGCUUUAGAUAAUUUAGAUUUUCCCAGAUAUUGCCUACUGUCUGUUUCUAAUUCAUAAGCGUGUUUCUGAUCUAUGACAACUGGCUGUUUUAUUUUUAAUAUCAUGGCAGCAAUAAAGGGUGGCA
Long non-coding RNA from Prinia subflava (tawny-flanked prinia), 6679 nucleotides. RefSeq lists it as uncharacterized. Lineage: Eukaryota; Metazoa; Chordata; Aves; Passeriformes; Cisticolidae. The transcript is spliced from 4 exons. The record is from RefSeq and is a predicted model, not a curated record.